AGAUGACGCUGCAUUAUUUAUAUUCAUACAUUAUUAAUUAUCAUUACAUUAUACAUUUACGUUAAGUUUGGUACAAGGAUUAAAAAUAUAAAUUUAGUUAGAUACUCAGCAUUUAAAACUUGGUAAGAAAAAAUUGCUUUUAAAGCAGUUUCAGUUCCAUACUUGGCUACAGCACCGUAUUUAAAUAUUCAAACAAAAGUACAUUGGUAGGUAUUGUUAAUAUAUUUUUUUAUUUAUUGUUUUAAUGUUAAGUUAUGUAAAGUUUUUUUGUAAGACUGAUAUUUUUUGUUCUUUUUCGUGUUGUGAAGAAAAAAUUGUAGUGAGUUAAGCUGACUAAAAACUAACAGUUGAUACAAUUCCAAAAAAUAAAGAGACAAUCACAUAAUAAUGGAAUUUAAACAUUGUUAUUUUGGUAAAUAUUAAUUUUAAAGCAUUGAAGAAGUUAUAUUUAUGUAUAUAAAAUUUUACGGCAUAAACUCUUUAAGAUAAUAUUCACUUCAUUCAACGAAGAAUACAAACUUUUAAUUAGUGAACUCCUUAAUAAUAAUUUUUUUUUAAUUCGACAUAUCGACAAAAAAUUGGCCUAGAUAGAGAAAUUCUGCUACUGCAUUAAAUUAAGAAUGUAAUGUUUAAAUUAGUUGACACCCAAAGGGGUUGUUGUUUUUUACUUUGACGUAUCCACAAAAAUACUAUCAGAUAAGGUCAGCUAUUCCAAAAGUACCUAAAAUUCUAAAUUAUUUUUUAUUUUAAUAUAGAAUUGGUGAUAGUAUUCGAAGAUAGCUGUAGUGUACGGGUUGUGUGAACACAAAUGUGUUAUAUCAGACGUAAAAGACGGACCAUUAGGUAAUAGGGACAUUAACCUCAGAUCAGUAAAUAUACAUCGGGCUAUUAGAAUUAAGAACGAGUGUCCUAUAAGGUAAAUAAAUCAAGAUAUAAAGGAAAAUACGAUAACUUGAUGUCAGCUUAAUGACAUUUUUGUGCAAAUGGUAAAUCAUUGAUUUGUCAUGUAAGAUCAACUAUAGCCUAUAUCUACUUUCGUUAAAAAUGAUCUGUCGAUAUCGAAAAUUGGCAUUUCUUUGUUUAAAGCCACACUUUUCUUUAAAAUAACGGUAAAAUAUCUACAUACUGACAGCUAAACUUUUUGGAAAAAAAUAGUAAGUGGCGAUAAACAAAUUAUAUUAAAAUUCCAUAAGUAUAAAUAGUUUUUCUUACCUUGAAGCGUGGCGCUGUGAGCGUGUAGCAUAAUAUUUUUAUGAUAGCAAUUGUGGCGAAAAAAUUAUUAAAGCAAGCGAUCUCAAGUUUAAUUAUCGCUUGAAUCAAAUAUUCUUAAAUUGUUGUAGCAGCAAUUUUUCGAGCGACGCAAGUUCUUGUUUCGAUGUUCAGUUGUAGGUACAUAGAGUCAUAAAUAAAACUCGAUAAUUUAAUGAUGAGAUUUAGUGUUAUUUUAAACUAAAUGUGCUCUCGAUUUCGUCCGCGUGGAAUUACAGUGACUUAACAUGUUCAACGCAUUUCUUUAAAUUGGCAUAACUUUUUUAUUUAUGAACCAAUUGACAUGAAACAAACAAUAAAUGUUAAGCUAAGCUUGCCACAAUAUAUUAGUAAAAAACACAUCUAAAUCGAAUAAGCCGUUUCUGAGAUUAGCGUGCACAAACAUAUAGACAAACAGAAAAAAAUUCUGACUAUCAUUGUUUUGAUUGGACUAAUAUUUUUUUCUCAUAUAUCUUGAAUGUACAGACAGCGACCCGUUACAUUUUAAUUAUAUAUAUAUUGAUUUAAAAUAACAAGAAAUUGACAAAUUAAAGCCGCACAUAAUACAGCUACUGUAUAUAUACAAACUUACGCACACAGCACCGCACGGUAAGGUUAUUUGAAACGUCUACACCAGUAAAGCAUUAUAGUCUUAUUUUUAUAAAUGUCGGUUAGGGCACUUUCUCCUGGUCUCGUAUGCAGGUGAUUAUUUCUGAUUUGAUAUUAAAAAAAAUGUUCACCUCUUCCACUUAAUGCAUUUUUUAUUAAUAGUCUUAGGCGAGUACUUGUUAAUUUUAGCACUCAUGGAAUUGAAUUGUCGAUGCUUCCAAUUUAGACACUAUUAAAAUUAGUAUGUAUAUAUUAUAAGAUGGUUCCUGCUUAUCUUGUAAACUUUUUUAAUAUAACCGAAUUAGUUUUAACAAUAUACACCAAUACACCAAUAUGUAUGAGUACUAUAGAACUAUAAUUAUCAUAUAAAAUAUUAUAUACACGAAUAGGCAGGGAUCAUCGAAAUGUAUAUCAAACUUCGCUUAGCACAUGAGAAUUUAAGCUUUAAUGCGAUAUUGUUAUAUCGCUUCAAUGAUAUUAAUAUUGAGGCUGAAACCUGAAUGUAAUAACGCAAUAAAAUGAGUGCCUAUUUGUUAAGGAACCAACGAACGUGCACGCUUUUUGAGUUACGUUAAUCAUAAUUAUUACACCUAGUAUUAUAUGUGUAAUGUAAUAUUCGAUGAAUAAAUGAACACAUUUUUAUAUAAAAUUAAUUUACAAAUUUAUUUUACAUAUUGAGUGCACAUUCGUUACUUCCUCUGAUAUCUCUAGUUGCACUCGACAUAGCUCCUAGUAGCGUAAAGUGUACACGUAUACAUUCGAAUCAAUUUUAUAUACAAGGAAGGGGAACGUUUAUAGGUAAAUGUAGUCUCCGUCCAUUGUGAAGUUAUUAUACGUGACAAAUAAACCCCGUACAUGAUAAACUGUGUUUACGCAGUUUUAUCAAAAUUAUAUUAACAGCAAAAUCAAUUAGGAUUUCCAAUUUUACAGGCAACAUACGCGCGACGUGUAUUUUAGCACGAAAAACGUAAUAAUAAUUUAUUAACAAAAAUAUUUAAAAAAUACUCAGUAUAGUUUUACGUACUUCGCAGAAAAGGUGCUUGUAAAUAAAAUUCUUUGACGAAAGUUAUAUCAAGUUCAUCGAUAUAGCGUUUUUAUUCUUUAAAAACGACAGUAGCGACAUCGUUUUAGUUGCUAAACAACAAUGGCGUUAAAUUACAAGAUUAGUCAGUUUUAUAUCAUUACAUUAAUCGAAAUGAAUGAAAGGUUUUAUAGCUAUAAUUAGAGUAACGAUAAAAAAAUAUUGUUUUUAUAUAAUAAUAUGUUAUGCUCAGAUAUCAUAUCUCGACGACGCCUAUACGCGUAUACGUACUCGAUAUAUUAGCACUAGAGUUGGAAUUGUCGGAAGCGUAUUUUAUACAAAGUAUAAUUUUAUUUCAUUAGAAAUAAGAAAGCUGUAAUAAUAAAAAAAAUCGAACAAAUCGAAAUUUACUGUAGUGAGAACUCAUUAAGUGCACUUCAUUGUAAGGCAGUUAUUAGAAAUUUUAAUAAAUUGAAUAAUGUUAGAACGAUAAAUUAGGCGAGAGUGAAACUAGAAGCACGCGCGUAGGUAUUAUCAGAGUGAGGGUUUUAUGCAAUAACUAUUAACGUACGUACACAGGUUAUUAAAUAUAUUUAAUGUAAAAGCUUAAUUCGUGGUAUCUUUGGUAGGAAUUAGUUCAAUGUAUUAUUUAUUUACUAUUAUUAAUGUGGUAAAAUUUGUAAAAUAUUUUAUUUGAUUUUUGUUAAAAAGUAACUCAUGAUAUUUUUUCAAUCUCAUCUGAAACAAUUUGUGUAUUUUUUUUUACUGUUACUCCAAUUGUUUAUUAAAGUUUUUAUCAAAAAGUUUUUCAUAUUAACAACUUAUCUAUUAUGUUUAUUAGCUACUUGAAAAUAAUUGUUAAGUAUACAUAAUUUUAUUUAAAAUGUUCGGUACUUUAUGAACAAUUUUUAUGUGUGUGUAUUUUUAUAGUUUUAAAAAUGACAAACGUUUUUAGUUUGCAUAUACGUUCUUUUACAAGUAAUGAUUUUAUUCGUAUGACACUUUGCCGAACAUAUUAUAUAAAUUUUAAGUAAACACAAAUCUUUAUUUACAAUAAAUACUACGAGCUUUAAGUAGCGUAUCGAUUAAACGCUAAUUCAGGAUUUUGACUGGUUAAAUAACAACUAAUAUAUAUUGUAUAAUAUAAGUUGCAUUGUAUAUCAUCGUAGCAAUUAUUACACGUAUAAAUUGCUGCGAUAAUAUAUAAUGAUUUAAUUGCUUAAAUUGUAAACCUAAGUCAAUAUAAACCAUCAAUUACUAAUUAAGAAACAUGCUUCCUGAUAGAUCUGACAAUAUAAAUAUUCUGUUAUGCCUUAACGAAAUAUUGGUAGUGAUAUAGUUAAUAUAUGCAUGCUAGUGAGUAUAGGGACAUUGUAUUAACAUGACAUUAUUUGUAACAAUAUUGGCCCUGUCUCAUAAAAAUCACAAUUUCAUGAGACGUUUCAAACGCACAAAUUGUAAUAGUAUAUACAUAAUUAUGUAUAUUAUAAAAUAUGUCUUAUUAAUUGAUAUCUUAUUAAAUUUUAAAGUUAGAACAUUCUAAGUGGUAAUCUUUUUUUUUUAAAUUAGUAGUCACGUUUUAUUAUAAUCAAAAUGGCUGCUAGAAACCUUUUUGUAUCUACUGAAGUAGGGCACAGCAGGAAAUUCCCUGCUCAAAAUAUGGAGAAGCUCAACUGGAGUGGUGCCUCGACCUUACAGAAGAUAAAUAAUACUGUUUUCAAUCAUUGUUUCAAUUAGUGUUGUUUUCCUGUUGGUGAGUAAGGUAACCAGAGCUCCUGGGGGGAAUAGGGGAUGGGAUAAGCAACGCGCUUGCGAUGCUUCUGGAGUUGCAAGUCUAUAAGCUACGAUAAUCGCUUACCAUCGGGUGAGCCGUAUUAUGAUAGCUUAUUUGCCGGCCUAGUUAUAUCAAAAAAAUAGCACUGAAAAUUUGAAUUUAAAAAGUAUACAUUAUAAUUUAUAUAAGUGUAUCCUUUAGUUUAUUUUAAAGAAAUGUUACAAAUAAAAUGUGCAAUAACAAUACGCACAACAAUGAAAAAUGGAUUUAAAAUUU
Molecule: unclassified non-coding RNA, 4928 nt
Filed under: Melitaea cinxia (Glanville fritillary)
Lineage: Eukaryota; Metazoa; Arthropoda; Insecta; Lepidoptera; Nymphalidae
Description: misc RNA ENSMCXG00005003170.1
Source: RNAcentral